This 308-nucleotide ribosomal RNA is filed under the name uncultured bacterium. RNAcentral describes it as "bacterial SSU rRNA". It matches the Rfam family "Bacterial small subunit ribosomal RNA", at positions 9 to 301 of the family's 1533-position model. The record is from RNAcentral.
GAGUUUGAUCUUGGCUCAGGAUGAACGCUGGCGGCGUGCUUAACACAUGCAAGUCGAACGGGAAAUACUUCAUUGAGACUUCGGUGGAUUUGAUUUAUUUCUAGUGGCGGACGGGUGAGUAACGCGUGGGUAACCUGCCUUAUACAGGGGGAUAACAGUCAGAAAUGACUGCUAAUACCGCAUAAGCGCACAGGACCGCAUGGUCCGGUGUGAAAAACUCCGGUGGUAUAAGAUGGACCCGCGUUGGAUUAGCUUGUUGGUGGGUAACGGCCCACCAAGGCGACGAUCCAUAGCCGGCCUGAGAGGGU